UAUGACUUGACAAAUAAAAAUGAUAUAGAUUAUUGCAUAUUAGAAGCUGCAGAAAGAACUCCGCAAAUCAAUGGAAAAUGGCUUUCGGUCGCGAAUAGGUUGAAAUUUUGAUAUGUUGUAGUUUAAAGCUUUCUGAUUAAUAGUCCCAAUGUAGGCACAAGUUUCGCAAAUGGACCAUUUUGGUGUUAUUUAAUUUUUUUUCAUGCAGUGCUAGAACGAGCUUGCUUGCUAGAGCUACAUAGUGUCAAAAAAUUGAAAAGGACAACAUUUUCUGAUGAGCAAUAAUAACGACAUAUAUCAAUAUUAAACUGUUUUCUAUUUGCACUUAUUGUGAGCAGCUUUUUAGAAUAUAUGACGGCUGACGCGCGCGCAUGGAAAAAUCGAUAAUAUUGAUCUUUAUCGAUUAGAAAACCCGGGCCUAAACAAAAGGGGAACACGUGGCUGCGUAGCAAGUAGGAAGAAGAGAAGAGACACUUUCCUUCCGUCUAUCGUAAUGCUUAGUCAUCCUCGAAGAGUUUUGUUCUGUAUAUUAAAUUCAUUGCGUAAAUUUUUAUUUCGGAGUUUCGUCUUGUAUAUAUAUUAAAUUAUAAAUUCAUAGCGUAAAUUGUGAUUUCUACUUAUUGCGGACAGCGUCGAUUGCCGAAGAAACUUGUGCAAAGAAUUAUUCACCCAUGAAAUAGAACCCAAUACAACCACGUGGUUAUCGUAAUUGCCUCUAGUCUUGUCAGCCGAAGAACAGGUGUGAGUUUCCAAUACAAAACUCUGUCUGAACUUGAAAUAUAAACCUAAAGACAAAUUAACGAAAAUGCGGAAGAAGGGAAAAAAAACACUUUCGAUUUGGGAUUACUUUACAAUAAUAGAUGAAAUGCGUAUAAUGUGCGACUGUUGUGAUGAUACAUCAAGCAUACCUUCAAUGCGUGUGAUGUGCGACCUUUGUGGUGAGACAUUAAGCAUACCAAUUAUGCGAAAUACUCGCUUGGAAACAAUUCAUGAUCAAUCUACAUAAUCAAGCUAAAUGUAAGAAAACUGGUUCAAGUUCAAGCAGUGAUUUAAAUGAUACGGACAAUGAUACAGACAAAAAAGAUGAAACGUCAGGAAGACUCAGAAGCAUCAGGAACAAGUGAAGAAAAAAGUAAAAAAAUAAGUAAAGGAACAAGUGAAGGAAACAGUAAAGAAACAAGUGAAGAAAACAGUAAAGGAUCAAGUAAAGGAAUAAGUAAGUCAUAUGUCUAAAAUUAUGUCUUCAUUAUCACAAUAUCUUAACGAGUAAUUAUUUGCUUUGCACUUAUUACACAGUAUAACAUGUAGAUAAAUCUUGUGAAUUAAGCAUUGCCCAUUUUACAAAAGUAUAAUCUGUAUCGUGUCAUAUAAAGUAUUCAUUUAUGUAUUAAGACAAUUAAGCGUAUCAUUAACUAUAUGUACAUUAAUCAG
Molecule: long non-coding RNA, 1431 nt
Organism: Temnothorax curvispinosus
Lineage: Eukaryota; Metazoa; Arthropoda; Insecta; Hymenoptera; Formicidae
Exons: 3
Source: RefSeq, a predicted model, not a curated record